Molecule: ribosomal RNA, 253 nt
Filed under: uncultured bacterium
Lineage: Bacteria
Description: partial 16S ribosomal RNA
Rfam family: Bacterial small subunit ribosomal RNA
Source: RNAcentral
UACGUAGGAGGCGAGCGUUGUCCGGAAUUACUGGGCGUAAAGGGCGCGUAGGCGGGCAGCUAAGUCCGCUGUCAAAGCCCGGGGCUUAACCCCGGAAGGUCGGUGGAGACUGGUUUUCUUGAAGCUGCCAGGGGGAGAUGGAAUUACCGGUGUAGCGGUGAAAUGCGUAGAUAUCGGUAGGAACACCAGUGGCGAAGGCGGUCUCCUGGAGCAGACUUGACGCUGAGGCGCGAAAGCUGGGGGAGCGAACGGG